UACGUAGGGAGCAAGCGUUGUCCGGAAUCAUUGGGCGUAAAGCGCGCGUAGGUGGCCUCAUAAGUCCGCUGUGAAAGUCAAAGGCUCAACCUUUGAAAGCCGGUGGAUACUGUGAGGCUAGAGUACGGAAGAGGCGAGUGGAAUUCUUGGUGUAGCGGUGGAAUGCGCAGAUAUCAGGAGGAACACCAAUAGCGAAGGCAGCUCGCUGGGACGUUACUGACACUGAGGCGCGAAAGCGUGGGGAGCAAACAGG
RNAcentral lists this ribosomal RNA (253 nucleotides) under uncultured bacterium. Its description in RNAcentral is "partial 16S ribosomal RNA". It matches the Rfam family "Bacterial small subunit ribosomal RNA", at positions 524 to 776 of the family's 1533-position model. The record is from RNAcentral.